Molecule: long non-coding RNA, 450 nt
Organism: Acinonyx jubatus (cheetah)
Lineage: Eukaryota; Metazoa; Chordata; Mammalia; Carnivora; Felidae
Exons: 3
Source: RefSeq, a predicted model, not a curated record
CUUGGAAGCACUUCAUUGUUCCAUCGGGAGAUACCGCAAAGCCUACGUCGGAGAGGGCGGGCGGACGGCGGCAGGGAGGGGCGGAAUCCUGGAGCUGCUUCGCCCAGUGCCAAGCUCGGGCGAGCACACUUCCUGUAAUCUGCUGGGUGAACCAGUGGGAUGAAAGGAGGUGGCAAAAAGCCCCGGACUGUAGCAGCGCUGCUCCGGAGACUCCUCCCAGCUGGGCUCGGCAGCUGUCCGGCUUUGUCUAAGGAAAGCCUUCUCUUCAACCUUCACCAACCCUGUUAUCCACCUCAUCGGUUGAUUCUUCCUUACUACACUGUAGAGUAAUCCUCCCUUAUCUGUGGAGGAUACAUCCAAGACCUUCAGUGGAUGCCUAAAACCAUGGAUAAGUACUGAACCUUAUACAUGCUGUGUAUUUUCCUAAACUACAUACUUAUGAUAAAAUUU